UCUAGAUCAUAGCGAUCGGCUUGCACGAGAUGAUAACACAAUUUCCUUUCCUAACAUUUUCUAUUUGCAUGCGUCCUGCCGCACGAGCUCGCCGACCUACGCGUCGAUCCGGUUUUAAGUGGCAAGCGGGAUAAGGGAUAGAUCUAGUACACCGCAUACCAUCCGACCGAUUUCCCGAAGCGGUAGCACACCUCACUAGUCGAGGGGGUUUUCCCCUGCGGUAAGUAUUGAUACAUCAUAGCGAUCGGUUUGCACGAGACAAUGUAGGCAGUUUAUUAAUAUUUUUUAUUUUUUAUUUUUCUUACUAUUUGUAUGCCUCUUGCUGCACGAGCUCGUCGACCUACGCGUCGAUCCGGAUUUAAGUGGCAGCGGGAAAAGGAAUCUACAACGCCAACCAUCCGACAGUGUUCACGAUAAGAAAGGAAACGUCUCUUAUCGUGGGGUUUCCCCUGCGGUAAGUUAUUUCACAUCACCAGUACAAGACCGUAACAAAAUUUGUAAACUUAAAUGUUUCUUUUUUUUUUGCAUGAUCCCUACCGCAUGAGUUCGUGCUACAUGUUGGAAUUACACGCGAAAUGAUAGAGAAUCGUUUUUCAGUACACAUGCCACAACACACUAUCUGUAUUCGUUUUCCUUCAUCUAACUGUAAGAAACAGUCACUGCGCAACAUCCUACGAUAGCCAAGCAUAUAGACGAAACAUUAAUGUUGUAUCAUGCUAACCCGUGACAGGCAAGUGCUCAGUAACUCACGCACGUCCUUCAACGCACACAUCGUGAAACAUCUGGUGAAUGAGAUUGCUGAGCAAAACACUCACCAAACGGAAUAGAAUGGAUGAGUUUAUUUUAUGCAUCAUGUACCUCCCUUUUGCCUUAAAAUGUGACCAGUGCCUUUUUUUCUUUUGUUUUACGUUAGCAUAGGAUUAGUAUUAGUAUUAGUUUGGUUUAAUUAGAUAUAAGAUUUUAUUGUGCUUAAUAUACGCAUGGACUAUUGAAACAUAUAAUUAUGUGUUUGUUGAGCAACACCAUUUGGGUAAAAAAAAUUAUUUACGUAUACUCGUGAGGAAGCACGCACUUUGAGUAAUAAUUAACAUCAGAUUUGCUAAUCAUAAAACCAAACGUUGUGUUAGAGCGUAUGUGAGGCCGUUGUUUGUUACGCUCGUUAUGUUGCCUGCGGUUCUCGGAUCGAACAAAAUGCUGACAAGACAGAUGGUUAUAGACAAUCGAUCCUAGCACUUGCAGCAGGUGCGUAAUCGAUAGAACAGUAUUUCUUCUUGGUCGCGAUCGUCCGAUGUUCUCCGCUGGUUCAGCGGAUCAAUGGUCAAUUCAAGCGGUGAGGUGAGCCUUGCGUGUCACUAUGGUGCACGUAACUAUAUAUUAACAACAUCUUACAGUAUUAUUAAAGGCCAUGGUUACGUUAUAGUUCAAACCACGCAACAAGCAUAAGGAAACUGUAAUUGAUAUUUGAAUCAGUUAACAAAUUAUCUAAUGGAACAGAUAAUGAAGUUGAUUUGGAAAUGUGUACACAAUCAUGCACACAAUCGUGACAUUAUCGCAAGUGUAUAUUGCACUAUAACGUUAUUUACAUGUUAAAAUGAUUCAUUAUACAAACACAUAUAUAUAUUUAUUGCAUCAAAUAUACUACACAUUUUUUUAUCUGAAAUUGUAUAAAUAUAUCGCAUUACUCACCAA
This is a long non-coding RNA of Anopheles arabiensis, 1689 nucleotides long. RefSeq lists it as uncharacterized. The transcript is spliced from 2 exons. Lineage: Eukaryota; Metazoa; Arthropoda; Insecta; Diptera; Culicidae. The record is from RefSeq and is a predicted model, not a curated record.